Molecule: ribosomal RNA, 454 nt
Filed under: uncultured bacterium
Lineage: Bacteria
Description: bacterial SSU rRNA
Rfam family: Bacterial small subunit ribosomal RNA
Source: RNAcentral
GGUAACAUUUCUAGCUUGCUAGAAGAUGACGAGCGGCGGACGGGUGAGUAACGCGUAGAAAUCUACCUAGUAGUGGGGGAUAGCCCAGAGAAAUUUGGAUUAAUACCGCAUACGCCCUACGGGGGAAAGCGGGGGAUCUUCGGACCUCGUGCUAUUAGAUGAGUCUGCGUCGGAUUAGCUUGUUGGUGAGGUAAUGGCUCACCAAGGCGACGAUCCGUAGCUGGUCUGAGAGGAUGACCAGCCACACUGGAACUGAGACACGGUCCAGACUCCGUACGGGAGGCAGCAGGUGGGGAAUAUUGCACAAUGGGCGCAAGCCUGAUGCAGCCAUGCCGCGUGUGUGAAGAAGGCCGUUAGGGUUAGUAAAGCUACUUUCAGCAGUGAAGGAAAGGGGUGUCGUUAAUAGCGCCAUCCUGUGACGUUAACUGCAGAAGAAGGACCGGCUAACUCCGUG